RNAcentral lists this ribosomal RNA (195 nucleotides) under Triticum aestivum (bread wheat). RNAcentral describes it as "partial small subunit ribosomal RNA". Lineage: Eukaryota; Viridiplantae; Streptophyta; Magnoliopsida; Poales; Poaceae. The record is from RNAcentral.
AUGGUGGGGCGCUCCCGGAUUCCGGGUGUCCCACGAGUUGGCGACAAGGAAAUGAGUGACAAUACGGACACGAUGCAGACAAAGGGUGCAUCUCAUCCAACAUGCAUUCAUUCGUUCACGGGCGUCGUCUCGGUGUUAUACCUUCAAGGUGGCAUUGACGCAUCUGUUCAUAAAGUACUUGGCGGUUUCGUGUAA